AUUGAACGCUGGCGGCAGGCCUAACACAUGCAAGUCGACCGAGUGGCGGACGGGUGAGUAAUGUCUGGGAAACUGCCUGAUGGAGGGGGAUAACUACUGGAAACGGUAGCUAAUACCGCAUACCAUCGGAUGUUCCCAGAUGGGAUUGGCUAGUAGGUGGGGUAAAGGCUCCCCUAGGCGACGAUCCCUCGCUGGUCUGAGAGGAUGCCCAGCAACACUGGAACGGAGACACGGGCCAGACUCCUACGGGAGGCAGCAGUGGGGAAUAUUGAACAAUGGGCGAAAGCCUGAUGCAGCCAUGCCGCGUGUGUGAAGAAGGCCUUCGGGUUGUAAAGCACUUUCAGCGAGGAGGCGGUACUCGCAGAAGAAGCACCGGCUAACUCCGUGCCAGCAGCCGCGGUAAUUC
Molecule: ribosomal RNA, 406 nt
Filed under: uncultured bacterium
Lineage: Bacteria
Description: partial 16S ribosomal RNA
Rfam family: Bacterial small subunit ribosomal RNA
Source: RNAcentral